Molecule: long non-coding RNA, 535 nt
Organism: Drosophila innubila
Lineage: Eukaryota; Metazoa; Arthropoda; Insecta; Diptera; Drosophilidae
Exons: 3
Source: RefSeq, a predicted model, not a curated record
AUUGAUUUUCCAGACAAAUUAUCGAAAAUCAGAGAUAAAAAGAAUGUACUUACUGCCAAUGGUUGAAGAAUGUUUCGGAUUGUGCUACAAAGUCUAUUGAUGCUGUGUUUACUAUAUACCUAUAAUCAUAAAGCACUCGCUGAGAGCUCAAUAGAGCGCAGAAUGCAAAGACAAUUUGCCAACUUUGAAAAUCUUUUUACAGAAAACCACAAAAAAAAUGUAUUCAAAAUACAAUCAGCCGACAAUGCCAUCGUUCGAAUGUCUUUUAAAAAGCCUGACAUUGAGAAUUCUAAAGACGACAAGAAGAAUUUGCAUAGUAACAAAAAGCACCCUCAAUAUUACUUAAAUUUUGAAUUUAAUAACUAUCACAAUCCUAAAAAUGAACAAAACGAUAUUUCCAGAAAUAAAGGCAGAAAAAGCUUUCCUCUCAAGGGGAAAGAUCUAUUUCAUUAAUAGUAUAAAGUGUCUGACAGCAUGCUUUGAGAGCUGUUCGUGAACUUUGUCCAACUGUUUCACUAAAAUAAAGUUAUAGAAU